RNAcentral lists this ribosomal RNA (2904 nucleotides) under Escherichia coli. Its description in RNAcentral is "23S ribosomal RNA". It matches the Rfam family "Bacterial large subunit ribosomal RNA". Lineage: Bacteria; Pseudomonadati; Pseudomonadota; Gammaproteobacteria; Enterobacterales; Enterobacteriaceae. The record is from RNAcentral.
GGUUAAGCGACUAAGCGUACACGGUGGAUGCCCUGGCAGUCAGAGGCGAUGAAGGACGUGCUAAUCUGCGAUAAGCGUCGGUAAGGUGAUAUGAACCGUUAUAACCGGCGAUUUCCGAAUGGGGAAACCCAGUGUGAUUCGUCACACUAUCAUUAACUGAAUCCAUAGGUUAAUGAGGCGAACCGGGGGAACUGAAACAUCUAAGUACCCCGAGGAAAAGAAAUCAACCGAGAUUCCCCCAGUAGCGGCGAGCGAACGGGGAGCAGCCCAGAGCCUGAAUCAGUGUGUGUGUUAGUGGAAGCGUCUGGAAAGGCGCGCGAUACAGGGUGACAGCCCCGUACACAAAAAUGCACAUGCUGUGAGCUCGAUGAGUAGGGCGGGACACGUGGUAUCCUGUCUGAAUAUGGGGGGACCAUCCUCCAAGGCUAAAUACUCCUGACUGACCGAUAGUGAACCAGUACCGUGAGGGAAAGGCGAAAAGAACCCCGGCGAGGGGAGUGAAAAAGAACCUGAAACCGUGUACGUACAAGCAGUGGGAGCACGCUUAGGCGUGUGACUGCGUACCUUUUGUAUAAUGGGUCAGCGACUUAUAUUCUGUAGCAAGGUUAACCGAAUAGGGGAGCCGAAGGGAAACCGAGUCUUAACUGGGCGUUAAGUUGCAGGGUAUAGACCCGAAACCCGGUGAUCUAGCCAUGGGCAGGUUGAAGGUUGGGUAACACUAACUGGAGGACCGAACCGACUAAUGUUGAAAAAUUAGCGGAUGACUUGUGGCUGGGGGUGAAAGGCCAAUCAAACCGGGAGAUAGCUGGUUCUCCCCGAAAGCUAUUUAGGUAGCGCCUCGUGAAUUCAUCUCCGGGGGUAGAGCACUGUUUCGGCAAGGGGGUCAUCCCGACUUACCAACCCGAUGCAAACUGCGAAUACCGGAGAAUGUUAUCACGGGAGACACACGGCGGGUGCUAACGUCCGUCGUGAAGAGGGAAACAACCCAGACCGCCAGCUAAGGUCCCAAAGUCAUGGUUAAGUGGGAAACGAUGUGGGAAGGCCCAGACAGCCAGGAUGUUGGCUUAGAAGCAGCCAUCAUUUAAAGAAAGCGUAAUAGCUCACUGGUCGAGUCGGCCUGCGCGGAAGAUGUAACGGGGCUAAACCAUGCACCGAAGCUGCGGCAGCGACGCUUAUGCGUUGUUGGGUAGGGGAGCGUUCUGUAAGCCUGCGAAGGUGUGCUGUGAGGCAUGCUGGAGGUAUCAGAAGUGCGAAUGCUGACAUAAGUAACGAUAAAGCGGGUGAAAAGCCCGCUCGCCGGAAGACCAAGGGUUCCUGUCCAACGUUAAUCGGGGCAGGGUGAGUCGACCCCUAAGGCGAGGCCGAAAGGCGUAGUCGAUGGGAAACAGGUUAAUAUUCCUGUACUUGGUGUUACUGCGAAGGGGGGACGGAGAAGGCUAUGUUGGCCGGGCGACGGUUGUCCCGGUUUAAGCGUGUAGGCUGGUUUUCCAGGCAAAUCCGGAAAAUCAAGGCUGAGGCGUGAUGACGAGGCACUACGGUGCUGAAGCAACAAAUGCCCUGCUUCCAGGAAAAGCCUCUAAGCAUCAGGUAACAUCAAAUCGUACCCCAAACCGACACAGGUGGUCAGGUAGAGAAUACCAAGGCGCUUGAGAGAACUCGGGUGAAGGAACUAGGCAAAAUGGUGCCGUAACUUCGGGAGAAGGCACGCUGAUAUGUAGGUGAAGUCCCUCGCGGAUGGAGCUGAAAUCAGUCGAAGAUACCAGCUGGCUGCAACUGUUUAUUAAAAACACAGCACUGUGCAAACACGAAAGUGGACGUAUACGGUGUGACGCCUGCCCGGUGCCGGAAGGUUAAUUGAUGGGGUUAGCGCAAGCGAAGCUCUUGAUCGAAGCCCCGGUAAACGGCGGCCGUAACUAUAACGGUCCUAAGGUAGCGAAAUUCCUUGUCGGGUAAGUUCCGACCUGCACGAAUGGCGUAAUGAUGGCCAGGCUGUCUCCACCCGAGACUCAGUGAAAUUGAACUCGCUGUGAAGAUGCAGUGUACCCGCGGCAAGACGGAAAGACCCCGUGAACCUUUACUAUAGCUUGACACUGAACAUUGAGCCUUGAUGUGUAGGAUAGGUGGGAGGCUUUGAAGUGUGGACGCCAGUCUGCAUGGAGCCGACCUUGAAAUACCACCCUUUAAUGUUUGAUGUUCUAACGUGGACCCGUAAUCCGGGUUGCGGACAGUGUCUGGUGGGUAGUUUGACUGGGGCGGUCUCCUCCUAAAGAGUAACGGAGGAGCACGAAGGUUGGCUAAUCCUGGUCGGACAUCAGGAGGUUAGUGCAAUGGCAUAAGCCAGCUUGACUGCGAGCGUGACGGCGCGAGCAGGUGCGAAAGCAGGUCAUAGUGAUCCGGUGGUUCUGAAUGGAAGGGCCAUCGCUCAACGGAUAAAAGGUACUCCGGGGAUAACAGGCUGAUACCGCCCAAGAGUUCAUAUCGACGGCGGUGUUUGGCACCUCGAUGUCGGCUCAUCACAUCCUGGGGCUGAAGUAGGUCCCAAGGGUAUGGCUGUUCGCCAUUUAAAGUGGUACGCGAGCUGGGUUUAGAACGUCGUGAGACAGUUCGGUCCCUAUCUGCCGUGGGCGCUGGAGAACUGAGGGGGGCUGCUCCUAGUACGAGAGGACCGGAGUGGACGCAUCACUGGUGUUCGGGUUGUCAUGCCAAUGGCACUGCCCGGUAGCUAAAUGCGGAAGAGAUAAGUGCUGAAAGCAUCUAAGCACGAAACUUGCCCCGAGAUGAGUUCUCCCUGACUCCUUGAGAGUCCUGAAGGAACGUUGAAGACGACGACGUUGAUAGGCCGGGUGUGUAAGCGCAGCGAUGCGUUGAGCUAACCGGUACUAAUGAACCGUGAGGCUUAACCUU